RNAcentral lists this ribosomal RNA (207 nucleotides) under uncultured bacterium. RNAcentral describes it as "partial 16S ribosomal RNA". It matches the Rfam family "Bacterial small subunit ribosomal RNA", at positions 524 to 731 of the family's 1533-position model. The record is from RNAcentral.
UACGAAGGGGGCUAGCGUUGCUCGGAAUCACUGGGCGUAAAGCGCACGUAGGCGGACUCUUAAGUCGGUGGUGAAAUCCUGGAGCUCAACUCCAGAACUGCCUUCGAUACUGGAAGCUCGAGUUCGGGAGAGGUGAGUGGAACUGCGAGUGUAGAGGUGAAAUUCGUAGAUAUUCGCAAGAACACCAGUGGCGAAGGCGGCUCACUG